GGGCCGUUAGCUCAACUGGCAGAGCAGGGGACUCUUAAUCCCAAGGUUGGAGGUUCGAUUCCUCCACGGCCCA
This 73-nucleotide transfer RNA is filed under the name Solirubrobacterales bacterium. RNAcentral describes it as "tRNA-Lys". It matches the Rfam family "tRNA". Rfam says of the family: Transfer RNA (tRNA) molecules are approximately 80 nucleotides in length. RNAcentral also lists the same sequence under 6 other names. Lineage: Bacteria; Bacillati; Actinomycetota; Thermoleophilia; Solirubrobacterales. The record is from RNAcentral.